Nerophis ophidion (straightnose pipefish) is the source of this 303-nucleotide long non-coding RNA. RefSeq lists it as uncharacterized. The record is from RefSeq and is a predicted model, not a curated record. Lineage: Eukaryota; Metazoa; Chordata; Actinopteri; Syngnathiformes; Syngnathidae. The transcript is spliced from 3 exons.
ACACACACACACUGGACGGAUGGAAGGAGAGCCAUCCAUCCAUCCAUCUUCUUCCGCUUAUCCGAGGUCGGGUCGCGGGGGCAACAGCCUAAGCAGGUGCACCGACUCAUCAGAUGUGAAGCUCCUUGUCAGCAUGUCAAAGCAGACCACUUGGGAUAGCGCUAUCCAAAGGGAGACUGAGAGCAGCAAGUGUCAGUUAUCCGAGGAGAGGCUGAGGGCAGCAAUGAAAUCGACAACUACAGAAAAGUGAAGACGGAGUAAAAUACUGCAAUAUUUACUUCUCAAUAUGUUGGCCAUUGUAAG